AACAAACGCUGGCGGCGUGCCUAACACAUGCAAGUCGUACGAGAAAGUUGGCUUCGGCCAAUGAGUAAAGUGGCGCACGGGUGAGUAACGCGUGGAUAAUCUGCCCUUCAGCGGGGAAUAACCCAUCGAAAGGUGGGCUAAUACCCCAUAACACUGUUUUACAACUGUCAAACAGUCAAAGAGAGCCUCUGCUUGCAAGCUUUUACUGAAGGUUGAGUCCGCGUACCAUUAGCUAGUUGGUAGGGUAAUGGCCUACCAAGGCGACGAUGGUUAGCUGGUCGGAGAGGAUGAGCAGCCACACUGGAACUGAGACACGGUCCAGACUCCUACGGGAGGCAGCAGUGAGGAAUCUUGCGCAAUGGGGGAAACCCUGACGCAGCAACGCCGCGUGAGUGAGGAAGGUCUUCGGGUCGUAAAGCUCUGUCAGGCGGGAAGAAAUGCAUGGAGGUGAACAGCCGCCAUGCUUGACGGUACCGCCAGAGGAAGCACCGGCUAACUCCGUGCCAGCAGCCGCUGUAA
This 519-nucleotide ribosomal RNA is filed under the name uncultured bacterium. Its description in RNAcentral is "partial 16S ribosomal RNA". It matches the Rfam family "Bacterial small subunit ribosomal RNA", at positions 29 to 523 of the family's 1533-position model. The record is from RNAcentral.